Molecule: ribosomal RNA, 397 nt
Filed under: uncultured bacterium
Lineage: Bacteria
Description: partial 16S ribosomal RNA
Rfam family: Bacterial small subunit ribosomal RNA
Source: RNAcentral
AUACGUAGGGGGCGAGCGUUGUCCGGAAUGAUUGGGCGUAAAGGGCGCGUAGGCGGCCCGGUAAGUCUGGAGUGAAAGUCCUGUUUUUAAGAUGGGAAUUGCUUUGGAUACUGUCGGGCUUGAGUGCAGGAGAGGUAAGUGGAAUUCCCAGUGUAGCGGUGAAAUGCGUAGAGAUUGGGAGGAACACCAGUGGCGAAGGCGACUUACUGGACUGUAACUGACGCUGAGGCGCGAAAGUGUGGGGAGCAAACAGGAUUAGAUACCCUGGUAGUCCACACUGUAAACGAUGAAUGCUAGGUGUAGGGGGUAUCGACCCCUUCUGUGCCGCAGUCAACACAAUAAGUAUUCCGCCUGGGGAGUACGGCCGCAAGGUUGAAACUCAAAUGAAUUGGCGGGG